CCGCCCUCUCUCCGCGCGGCCUAGCCGGCCUCGGGCGCGUCGGGAUCCCCGGCUUUUCCCGGCCCGGCCCGCCGGCUGCCCGGCCCCGGCCCUGGCUCGCCGAGUCGGCGCGCGCCGCCCCCUCCCCCUUCUCCCGCCCGGGGCGCUCCCACCGCCGCUGCUCACCCUCUCUCCACCUCUGACCUCAUCUUAUUUUCCAAAAAUCUGUGCGGCCCUUCUUCCUGGGUGCCGGGAGCUCUUUAGCCUGUUCCCGGUGUCCGUGACCUUCCUACCCCCGACGCGCCCCCCCCCCCCACCUGGGAGGCAGAGACCUUUCGCUCUUCCCUCUCCCCUGCGUUUGGGCACCUUGGUGCCAGCCCUGGAGCGUUUUUGAACUCGGUGGAAGAGCCUUUCAAGGACAAUUCUAUCUUUACAACCCCUCUCGCAGAAUCACGGUGGCUCAGUCUUUCCCAGUAACAUGACAUUGGUCAGAGGGCCCCUGGCAUUACCGUUAAAAAUAAGAUAAAAAGGAAACUUUUCCAUCGGGACUGGGGAAUGCUCUCUGUCUUCCGGUCUAGGUCAGAACUCCCCAAGACGGGUGGUCUGCCGGCAUCUGAAGCGCCACGGUCCAAAUUGCUGCUGUCCUAUUGUUUAUUCCUUUCCCGUUCUACCUGCGAGGAUGAUGCUCCCGAAUGUGGACACUUCCUCUGUGCAGAUAGACCAACCAGUGGUCGCCAGACAAGUCCUAUCGUGCUUUCUGAAUACAUGCGACAUUUUAAAAACAA
Long non-coding RNA from Herpailurus yagouaroundi (jaguarundi), 764 nucleotides. RefSeq lists it as uncharacterized. NCBI's taxonomy places the organism in Eukaryota, Metazoa, Chordata, Mammalia, Carnivora, Felidae. The transcript is spliced from 2 exons. The record is from RefSeq and is a predicted model, not a curated record.